UGGGGAAUUUUCCGCAAUGGGCGCAAGCCUGACGGAGCAAGACCGCGUGCGGGAGGACGGCCUAUUGGUUGUAAACCGCUUUUGAUAGGGAAGAAGCUCUGACGGUACCUAUCGAAUCAGCAUCGGCUAACUCCGGGCACGCAGCCGCGGUAAUACGGAGGAUGCAAGCGUUAUCCGGCAUUAUUGGGCGUAAAGCGUCCGUAGGUGGUUGUUCAAGGCUGCUGUUAAAGCGUGCGGCUUACCCGCAUA
This 249-nucleotide ribosomal RNA is filed under the name uncultured Leptolyngbya sp. RNAcentral's name for it is "partial 16S ribosomal RNA". It matches the Rfam family "Bacterial small subunit ribosomal RNA", at positions 355 to 619 of the family's 1533-position model. The record is from RNAcentral. Lineage: Bacteria; Bacillati; Cyanobacteriota; Cyanophyceae; Leptolyngbyales; Leptolyngbyaceae.